CCUACGGGUGGCUGCAGUAGGGAAUCUUCGGCAAUGGACGAAAGUCUGACCGAGCAACGCCGCGUGAGUGAAGAAGGUUUUCGGAUCGUAAAACUCUGUUGUUAGAGAAGAACAAGGGUGAGAGUAACUGUUCACCCCUUGACGGUAUCUAACCAGAAAGCCACGGCUAACUACGUACCACCACCCCCGGUAAAACUAAGGGGCCAAGCGUGGUCCGGAUUUAUUGGGCGUAAAGCGAGCGCAGGCGGUUUCUUAAGUCUGAUGUGAAAGCCCCCGGCUCAACCGGGGAGGGUCAUUGGAAACUGGGAGACUUGAGUGCAGAAGAGGAGAGUGGAAUUUCAUGUGUAGCGGUGAAAUGCGUAGAUAUAUGGAGGAACACCAGUGGCGAAGGCGGCUCUCUGGUCUGUAACUGACGCUGAGGCUCGAAAGCGUGGGGAGCAAACAGGAUUAGAUACCCUGGUAGUC
RNAcentral lists this ribosomal RNA (465 nucleotides) under uncultured Enterococcus sp. RNAcentral's name for it is "bacterial SSU rRNA". It matches the Rfam family "Bacterial small subunit ribosomal RNA", at positions 338 to 795 of the family's 1533-position model. Lineage: Bacteria; Bacillati; Bacillota; Bacilli; Lactobacillales; Enterococcaceae. The record is from RNAcentral.